AGAUGACUGACAUUUUGUCAGGGGCCCAAGCAAGGACCUGUGUGCAGCUGAACUUUCAAGCCAGGGCCGCAGACCGCGGGCUGGGGGGAGUUUUGUGAUUCAGGUGCGCCUUCGGCCGCUUGCAAGUCAUCCCACCCGUGAGUAAGGCCUGUCUAGACGUAGAUAACCAAAAGAAACCGCCCUGACAAUCUCUUCUACGGAAAUUUUUCUAUCAGGAAAACAGUUUUAUAAGGGAAACUAAAGAAUAUAAACAUGCAGAGGGAAAAUUAAGAAGUUGAGCAUGGCCUUCGGGAUGAGUGGAACUCAGAGAAUCCCGGCUGUCCGUUAAUCUCCUGCUAAAAGCACUUGUCGCUGCUGCUCCCACCGAUUCAAACCGGUCUGCAUUUCACUUCCUCUCCCUGACUUUGUUCCGCAAGAAAUCACAACAUUCUGAGAAACGCUUCCACAAAUGUGAGCCCGGAGAUUAGCCAAGAGGUCGGCUACUUUGAUCUCUGAAGAGAUAAGCAGGAUCAUAAGAAUCGGGGCUCUUGGGAAAACCAGCACUGAGGAGAGCCGCCACCCCGUUUUCCUCACGGCCCUCCUGCCUUUGCUCUCAGCUGACUGGAUGUGUGCAGCCGGGUUCCUCCGCUAGCCUUCCCACUUCUUUGUUCAAGCCGCAGGUCACCGUCGCCUUGCCCACCGGGGCGCGGAGCAUUUCGGGGUGCCGUCUGUAUGGGCGACUCUGACCCUCUUCUGAAAAGCUCUUAUUCAAGAUCCAGUUCAAACACCCCCGGGGAAGCCUUCCCUGAUUGCUUCACUCAGGGUUAGGCACUUCUCUCUCCAGAUUCUCACUGUACUUCAUUAUUAUUAUUAUUAUUAUUUUUUUUAAUAGGGUUUUGCCUUUUCUUUUUUUUUUUUAAGAUUUUAUUUAUUUAUUUGAGAGAGAGACUGAGAUAGAGAGAGCAUGAGAGGGGGGAGGGUCAGAGGGAGAAGCAGACUCCCUGCCGAGCAGGGAGCCCAAUGCGGGACUCGAUCCUGUGACUCCAGGAUCAUGACCUGAGCCGAAGGCAGUCGCUUAACCAACUGAGCCACCCAGGCGCCCCAUUAUUAUUUUUUAAAUGUAGGUAUUAUAUCCACACAGUAAAAUACAUAAAUCUCCCCAGUGCAGGGCUCCAUUCCAGGACCCCGGGAUCAUGACCUGAGCCGAAGGCAGACAGACGAUUAACCGACUGAGCCACCCAGGCGCCCCAUCACUAGGUUUUAUAAUUAAGAUUUGUGGGGGCGCCUGGCUGGUUCAGUCAGUGGAGCGUGCGACUCUGGAUCUCAGGGUUGUAAGUUUGAAGUCCACACUGGGUGUAGAGAUUACUUAAAAAUUAAAAAAAAACUUUAAAAAAUAAUUAAGAUUUAUGUAUUCUUAAUUUUUGGUAUUCCAGUGGUUUAGUAGUAUCUCAUUGUGGUUUUUGUUUUCAUUUUCUUGAUGAGUAAGCACUUUACCCGGCCGUUUGGAGAACCUUUUUUUUGAAAAGUGCCUGCUCAAGUCGUUUGCCCAGUUUUUAUUGGUUCUUUGUCUUUUCCUUACUGGUUGGUGGGAGUUCUUUAUAAUUCCAGACAUGAGCCCUUUGUCAGAUAUAUGUAUUAUGAAUGUUUUCUCCUGCCGUGGUUUGCUUUUCCACGUUCUUAGUGACGAUGUGUUUUGAUGAAGAGAAGUUCUUGAUUUUAGUUAAGUUCCAUUUACCGAUCUUUUCCUUUUAUGGUCACUUUUUUUU
Molecule: long non-coding RNA, 1745 nt
Organism: Mirounga angustirostris (Northern elephant seal)
Lineage: Eukaryota; Metazoa; Chordata; Mammalia; Carnivora; Phocidae
Exons: 2
Source: RefSeq, a predicted model, not a curated record